AACGAACGCUGGCGGCAUGCCUAACACAUGCAAGUCGAACGAGACCUUCGGGUCUAGUGGCGCACGGGUGCGUAACGCGUGGGAAUCUGCCCUUCGGUUGGGAAUAACUGAGAGAAAUUUCAGCUAAUACCUUAUAAUGUCUUCGGACCAAAGAUUUAUCGCCGAGGGAUGAGCCCGCGUAGGAUUAGGUAGUUGGUGGGGUAAUGGCCUACCAAGCCGACGAUCCUUAGCUGGUCUGAGAGGAUGAUCAGCCACACUGGGACUGAGACACGGCCCAGACUCCUACGGGAGGCAGCAGUGGGGAAUAUUGGACAAUGGACGCAAGUCUGAUCCAGCAAUGCCGCGUGAGUGAUGAAGGCCUUAGGGUUGUAAAGCUCUUUUACCCGGGAUGAUAAUGACAGUACCGGGAGAAUAAGCUCCGGCUAACUCCGUGCCAGCCGCCGCUGUAA
Molecule: ribosomal RNA, 449 nt
Filed under: uncultured bacterium
Lineage: Bacteria
Description: partial 16S ribosomal RNA
Rfam family: Bacterial small subunit ribosomal RNA
Source: RNAcentral